Molecule: long non-coding RNA, 893 nt
Organism: Canis lupus familiaris (dog)
Lineage: Eukaryota; Metazoa; Chordata; Mammalia; Carnivora; Canidae
Exons: 5
Source: RefSeq, a predicted model, not a curated record
UGAGGCCGCCGGAGGCCCGGCCGGCCGAGAUGGGACCAGAGCCCUGCGGGGCGGCGACCCAGCCGUCGGUUGCCCUGUGUCAGGGCGUCCUCUCCUCCUCCUUGCCUUGGUCACCGGACUCUGCGCGAGAAGCUGGAGUCCAGGUCCGGGGCUCAGCCAGGUGGAGGUCCAGCUUGGUGACCUUGGGCCAGUCCCUUAACAUCCCUGAACUCGUCUCGUCGCAAGAGUUUGCGAGUUGCCUCACUCCUAUCUCCCGGUUCUGACAAUGCGCACAGCCCAGGGAGCAGAGAGAAGACCAGCAAGCUGGCCUAGCCCACUUCCUCACCACCACCGCCAUGCCAAGGUCCCGGGCCAGCGUCUUCAGCUCUCUAGCCAGCUGCAUCAUCAGCGCCAACCCUGGAGGAGGAGAAGCAGAGGGCCAGGGCAGCAGGGCACCUAUGACCAGGCUGACCAGGGACUGGGUUCCAGAGCUGGGAGUUGAGCCUCCAGAUAAGAACACAGUCCAGCUGCCAUCUUGAUUACAGACUACUGAGAUCCUAAGCAGAGGCCCCAGCUAAGCCAUGCCCAGAUUCCUGAUCCACAGAAACUGUGAGUGACUUCAAGCAAAUUACUGAACAUCUCUGGCCCUCACUCUCCUCAUCUCUAGAAAUGAGAGGACUGGAUUAGAUCAAGACUACUUCAGGUCUCAAAACACAUGGGUCAUAACCAGCUACGGCUCCUAUGGAUUCUGGAUGUGUUCCGGUACUGGGCAGAAAUCUGGCAUCAUAUUGGCAGCCCAAGUGGCUCAGCAGUUUAGUGCCGCCUUCAGCCCAGGGCCUGAUCCUGGAGACCCAGGAUUGAGUCCCACAUCAGGCUCCCUGAAUGGAGCCUGCUUCUCCCUCUGCCUGUGUCUC